CUCACCACGGGCUAUUUAGGCGUUCAGCAGACAUAGACUUGAUAUUUGUUUUCUACUUUUUUGUGCCAUCACUUCAUGAGCCAUAAGAAAGUGAGUGGCUAGACGUUGGAUAUGGUAUUAGGGCCUAUAAGAGUAAAGCCCAAAAUAUAUGGUUAUACAGAUCAUA
Long non-coding RNA from Ipomoea nil (Japanese morning glory), 166 nucleotides. RefSeq lists it as uncharacterized. NCBI's taxonomy places the organism in Eukaryota, Viridiplantae, Streptophyta, Magnoliopsida, Solanales, Convolvulaceae. The transcript has 3 exons. The record is from RefSeq and is a predicted model, not a curated record.